Molecule: ribosomal RNA, 498 nt
Filed under: uncultured bacterium
Lineage: Bacteria
Description: partial 16S ribosomal RNA
Rfam family: Bacterial small subunit ribosomal RNA
Source: RNAcentral
AUUGAACGCUGGCGGCAUGCCUUACACAUGCAAGUCGAACGGUAACGCGGGGCAACCUGGCGACGAGUGGCGAACGGGUGAGUAAUGUAUCGGAACGUGCCCAGUUGUGGGGGAUAACUGCUCGAAAGAGCAGCUAAUACCGCAUACGACCUGAGGGUGAAAGCGGGGGAUCGCAAGACCUCGCGCAAUUGGAGCGGCCGAUAUCAGAUUAGGUAGUUGGUGGGGUAAAGGCCUACCAAGCCUACGAUCUGUAGCUGGUCUGAGAGGACGACCAGCCACACUGGGACUGAGACACGGCCCAGACUCCUACGGGAGGCAGCAGUGGGGAAUUUUGGACAAUGGGGGAAACCCUGAUCCAGCCAUGCCGCGUGCGGGAAGAAGGCCUUCGGGUUGUAAACCGCUUUUGUCAGGGAAGAAAUCCUUUGAACUAAUACUUCGGAGGGAUGACGGUACCUGAAGAAUAAGCACCGGCUAACUACGUGCCAGCCGCCGCCGUAA